GGGAGGCAAAAUCUGAUCUCUACCUCCCCGAGGUGCCUCCUGGGCAACUGCUCCCUACUUGAGCAGGCUAACAGAGACAG
RNAcentral lists this ribozyme (80 nucleotides) under Rhodnius prolixus. RNAcentral's name for it is "drz-agam-1 ribozyme". It matches the Rfam family "drz-agam-1 ribozyme". The record is from Rfam by way of RNAcentral. Lineage: Eukaryota; Metazoa; Arthropoda; Insecta; Hemiptera; Reduviidae.